UCCGUUUGAUCCUGGCGGAGGUCACUGCUAUCGGUGUUCGUCUAAGCCAUGCGAGUCAUAUGUUCUUCGUGAACAUGGCGCACUGCUCAGUAACACGUGGAUAACCUGCCCUUGGGUCUGGCAUAACCCCGGGAAACUGGGGAUAAUACCGGAUAACGCAUAUAUGCUGGAAUUCUUUAUGCGUGAAAUGGAUUCGUCUGCCCAAGGAUGGGUCUGCGGCCUAUCAGGUAGUAGUGGGUGUAAUGUACCUACUAGCCGACGACGGGUACGGGUUGUGAGAGCAAGAGCCCGGAGAUGGAUUCUGAGACAUGAAUCCAGGCCCUACGGGGCGCAGCAGGCGCGAAAACUUUACAAUGCGGGAAACCGUGAUAAGGCGACACCGAGUGCCAGCAUUAUAUGCUGGCUGUCCGGGUGUGUAAAAUACACCUGUUAGCAAGGGCCGGGCAAGACCGGUGCCAGCCGCCGCGGUAACACCGGCGGCCCGAGUGGUGAUCGUGUUUAUUGGGUCUAAAGGGUCCGUAGCCGGUUUGGUCAGUCCUCCGGGAAAUCUGACGGCUUAACCGUUAGGCUUUCGGGGGAUACUGCCAGACUUGGAACCGGGAGAGGUAAGAGGUACUACAGGGGUAGGAGUGAAAUCUUGUAAUCCCUGUGGGACCACCUGUGGCGAAGGCGUCUUACCAGAACGGGUUCGACGGUGAGGGACGAAAGCUGGGGGCACGAACCGGAUUAGAUACCCGGGUAGUCCCAGCCGUAAACGAUGCUCGCUAGGUGUCAGGCAUGGCGCGACCGUGUCUGGUGCCGCAGGGAAGCCGUGAAGCGAGCCACCUGGGAAGUACGGCCGCAAGGCUGAAACUUAAAGGAAUUGGCGGGGGAGCACAACAACGGGUGGAGCCUGCGGUUUAAUUGGACUCAACGCCGGACAACUCACCGGGGGCGACAGCAAUAUGUAGGUCAGGCUGAAGACCUUGCCUGAAUCGCUGAGAGGAGGUGCAUGGCCGUCGCCAGUUCGUACUGUGAAGCAUCCUGUUAAGUCAGGCAACGAGCGAGACCCA
RNAcentral lists this ribosomal RNA (1052 nucleotides) under uncultured archaeon. RNAcentral's name for it is "bacterial SSU rRNA". It matches the Rfam family "Archaeal small subunit ribosomal RNA", at positions 1 to 1054 of the family's 1478-position model. The record is from RNAcentral.